AGGGCACCACCAGGAGUGGAGCCUGCGGCUUAAUUUGACUCAACACGGGAAAACUCACCCGGCCCGGACACUGGAAGCAUUGACAGAUUGAGAGCUCUUUCUUGAUUCAGUGGGUGGUGGUGCAUGGCCGUUCUUAGUUGGUGGAGUGAUUUGUCUGGUUAAUUCCGAUAACGAACGAGACUCUAGCCUACUAAAUAGAUCGUCGGCUUACAAACGCCGGCGAGACUUCUUAGAGGGACAGGCGGUGAUUCAACCGCACGAAACAGAGCAAUAACAGGUCUGUGAUGCCCUUAGAUGUCCGGGGCCGCACGCGCGCUACACUGAAGUGAUCAGCGUGCUUUUUCAACCUACUCUGUCAAGAGUGGGGAACCCAAUGAACCUUCUUCGUGAUUGGGAUAGGGGAUUGUAAUUAUUCCCCUUGAACGAGGAAUUCCCAGUAAGCGCGAGUCAUAAGCUCGCGUUGAUUACGUCCCUGCCCUUUGUACACACCGCCCGUCGCUACUACCGAUUGAAUGUUUU
This 519-nucleotide ribosomal RNA is filed under the name uncultured eukaryote. Its description in RNAcentral is "SSU rRNA". It matches the Rfam family "Eukaryotic small subunit ribosomal RNA", at positions 1161 to 1699 of the family's 1831-position model. The record is from RNAcentral.